GAUUAUGGGCACCAGGCUUCACCCUCAACGACCUUGUUCCAACACCAGCGAACGUGGCCGUUUUCAGGGGUCUGCUGGGACCAGGUGGUUUCAACCGUCUCUACCAAAAUGUCCUUCCAGCAAUGGAACCGCUUUUACCCGUGUGGCCCAAGACCCUCCCGGACCCCAUUCUGCUCCUGGAGAUUCGCCCUUCCCCCCCCCCCCAGAGCACCGCCAGGUAUCAGCUGCAGAGUUGCAGACUUUGCGCUCCCCUGAGAAGCCUGAGUGAAUUGAUGGAAGGAUCCGUGAAAACAUCUGGGGGAAGAGCCUUCCAGGUGGAGAAGCGAACAUGCAUAUGCAUUUCUGUCGACGAGGCGUCAGAUAGUGGACUUGCCAAGUCAUAGAUGUGUAUACAGUUACCUUUAAUGGACACUGACAAACACCUUUGCGAAGUCACUGUACCAAUGUGCCAUCCCACCAGCAGUGUGUGAGGUUUCCUAGUACUCCACAUACGUUUUUGUAGUUUUUUAUCUUUUUUAUUUUAACUGUGUUGGCACCUGCAGUCAACCUUGGUCCAGAAGCCCAUGAUCCUCUUUCUGAUGUAUCCUCAGAAGGUCAUUAGUAGCCUAAUGCUACGUCACAAUGCAUACGUCAUCUACCACACUUCAUCUUAUCAUGUAGGCGUUUGAUAGUCUCACAUCAUGGCAGGAAGGGAAACUGAAAUGCAGAAAAGAUAAGGAAUACAAAGCUUUCACCACUAAUGAAUGCAGAAUUGGGCUUGUGACUUAACAGCUAACAUAUAAACAUCAUAGUUCUUACUACUGGUGGUCAUGAAGACAAGCACUGGAAGAGGCAUAUUUAAAACUGAGCAAAACCAGACAACACAAGGAGAAUGUAAACUAGAAAACAUGAAUCAGCUCUUAUUACGGGAAUCACAACAGGAACAGAAAAUGGCACAUUGAUCAUCUACUCUUGAGACAAUGGCUAAACUGAGAGCCGAAGCACCACAAAAGCAACUUCCUUCUUCCUGCAAUUGGCUGCAUGUAUCUAUGAACAAAGUGAAGAAUAUGAGAAGGCAACUCAGAAAUGAAUUCAACAUCAAAGACCAGCCUCGCUGUUUAUUUAGAACCCACGUCAUGCAUGACUCAGGGGCAAGAAGGCACAUCCAGCCAGAAACUACGCACACCUCUUCAUGGAGAAGCACUAACUGGAUGGAGCAAACACAUAACUGUCGUCCAACACGACUGUGUAAGAAGGUGUGAGACCAUGCUGAAGUUACCCCUAUGAGUUACAAGCCACGGCUAAUGGAAACGUAAACCUCAAGAGGAAGCUGUCAGACAAGCAGGCACCAUUGACGAUGCAGGUUGGCUUGAAAUUUCCUGGAAGCAGCUCCUUCCUCCUUUAGUAAAACGCUGCCCUGGGCACUGUGACCUUAAUGGAACCAUGAAAGUAACAAGGCAUUAAACAAAUCUCGGACUGGAAAAGUGAGAGAUGGCGAAAAUAUUCAAGUUAAUCAAAUCCACCUAAUGAUACAUUCGAGCGGCGUAAACCAGUUUCUCCAAGCCUUGUGCCCCUCCAGCUCCUGAGGUUUUGCUCUGGCAUUCUGAAGAGAACGGAAGAAAAUAGCAAGCAAUGGGGCACCUGGGCAGCUCAGUCGGUUAAGUGUCUGACUUCGGCUCAGGCCAUGA
Molecule: RNA transcript, 1667 nt
Organism: Prionailurus viverrinus (fishing cat)
Lineage: Eukaryota; Metazoa; Chordata; Mammalia; Carnivora; Felidae
Exons: 7
Source: RefSeq, a predicted model, not a curated record